Non-coding RNA from Canis lupus familiaris (dog), 436 nucleotides. The record is from Rfam. NCBI's taxonomy places the organism in Eukaryota, Metazoa, Chordata, Mammalia, Carnivora, Canidae.
UGGGCCCGGGAGAGGCGGCGGCCGGCCUCCGUCUAACCCUAACUGAGCAGGGCGUGGGCGCCGCGCUUUUGUUCCCCGCGCGCUGUUUUUCUCGCUGACUUUCAGCGGGCGGAAAAGCCUCGGCCUACCGCCGUCCACCGUCCGGGUCUGCAGCCAACAACAAAAAAUGUCAGCCGCUGGCUCGCUCGCCCCUCCCGGGAGCCUGCGGCCGCUCGCCCGCUCGGCCCCCCGCGUCCCGCCCGGAGGCCGCGGCCGGCCCGGGGCUUCUCCGGAGGCGCCCACUGCCGUCGCGAAGAGUUGGGCUCUGUCAGCCGCGGGCCGCCUGGGGGCCGCAGGGCGGGGCUCGGGCCGCAGGGAGAGCAACGGAGCGGGUCCCCGCGCGCGGUGCGUCUCCCUGAGCUGUGGGACUCGCACCCGGGACCGGGCUCGCACACGC